UCCUCGCUUCAUUUUCCUCUUCUUUUGUCU
Molecule: non-coding RNA, 30 nt
Filed under: Mus musculus (house mouse)
Lineage: Eukaryota; Metazoa; Chordata; Mammalia; Rodentia; Muridae
Source: RNAcentral